This is a long non-coding RNA of Oncorhynchus kisutch (coho salmon), 380 nucleotides long. RefSeq lists it as uncharacterized. The record is from RefSeq and is a predicted model, not a curated record. The transcript has 4 exons. Lineage: Eukaryota; Metazoa; Chordata; Actinopteri; Salmoniformes; Salmonidae.
ACUAUCAUGCAUUAGUUUUGCUCCCCCACCCGCCAUUUUUAAAAAGACCCGACGGGGCUCAUUGCCUGCUUGAAUUAUGCAGAAACGGGCAGCACUUAGGCCCUCGAUUCCCAAACCCUGUCGCCAGGAGGAAAGACCAGAUGCUGUGGUAUUUAGUUUACCGGCUGCACCAGGUCCUACUACACUGGCCGUGAAGGGAGAAACUUUUGAUGAUUCCCAGAUGGAUACAGCCUCACCCAGAAGUGCAUACACUGGGCCUAUCAGAGAUGGGAGGCUGACAAGGGAAAAUAAAACAACAUGCACACGCACACACUCACACACAUUAUCCAUAAUGUAAAUACGUUGUAAUUACUUGUGUAUUUAAUGUUUGCUCAAUUUUA